GACGAACGCUGGCGGCGUGCCUAAUACAUGCAAGUCGAACGCAUUUUCUUUCACCGUAGCUUGCUACACCGACAGAAAAUGAGUGGCGAACGGGUGAGUAACACGUGGGUAACCUGCCCAUCAGCGGGGGAUAACACUUGGAAACAGGUGCUAAUACCGCAUAAUUCCAUUUACUGCAUGGUAGAUGGAUGAAAGGCGCUUUUGCGUCACUGAUGGAUGGACCCGCGGUGCAUUAGCUAGUUGGUGGGGUAACGGCCUACCAAGGCUGCGAUGCAUAGCCGACCUGAGAGGGUGAUCGGCCCCACUGGGACUGAGACACGGCCCAGACUCCUACGGGAGGCAGCAGUAGGGAAUCUUCGGCAAUGGACGCAAGUCUGACCGAGCAACGCCGCGUGAGUGAAGAAGGUUUUCGGAUCGUAAAACUCUGUUGUUAGAAAAGAACAAGGAUGAGAGUGGAAAGUUCAUCCCUUGACGGUAUCUAACCAGAAAGCCACGGCUAACUACGUG
This 507-nucleotide ribosomal RNA is filed under the name uncultured bacterium. Its description in RNAcentral is "partial 16S ribosomal RNA". It matches the Rfam family "Bacterial small subunit ribosomal RNA", at positions 28 to 507 of the family's 1533-position model. The record is from RNAcentral.